Myotis brandtii (Brandt's bat) is the source of this 75-nucleotide non-coding RNA. The record is from Rfam. Lineage: Eukaryota; Metazoa; Chordata; Mammalia; Chiroptera; Vespertilionidae.
GGUAGUUCUCAAGUGACACACCCUGGAAUCGGGCUCCCUCCUCUCUGGUUCCAGGUGUGUCACCUGAGAACCGCA